RNAcentral lists this ribosomal RNA (490 nucleotides) under uncultured bacterium. RNAcentral describes it as "partial 16S ribosomal RNA". It matches the Rfam family "Bacterial small subunit ribosomal RNA", at positions 30 to 507 of the family's 1533-position model. The record is from RNAcentral.
AUUGAACGCUGGCGGCAGGCCUAACACAUGCAAGUCGAACGGUAACAGGAAGCAGCUUGCUGCUUUGCUGACGAGUGGCGGACGGGUGAGUAAUGUCUGGGAAACUGCCUGAUGGAGGGGGAUAACUACUGGAAACGGUAGCUAAUACCGCAUAAUGUCGCAAGACCAAAGAGGGGGACCUUCGGGCCUCUUGCCAUCGGAUGUGCCCAGAUGGGAUUAGCUAGUAGGUGGGGUAAAGGCUCACCUAGGCGACGAUCCCUAGCUGGUCUGAGAGGAUGACCAGCCACACUGGAACUGAGACACGGUCCAGACUCCUACGGGAGGCAGCAGUGGGGAAUAUUGCACAAUGGGCGCAAGCCUGAUGCAGCCAUGCCGCGUGUAUGAAGAAGGCCUUCGGGUUGUGAAGUACUUUCAGCGGGGAGGAAGGGAGUAAAGUUAAUACCUUUGCUCAUUGACGUUACCCGCAGAAGAAGCACCGGCUAACUCCGUG